UACAGAGGUCUCAAGCGUUGUUCGGAUUCAUUGGGCGUAAAGGGUGCGUAGGCGGCUCGGUAAGUCGGGUGUGAAAUCUUGGAGCUUAACUCCGAAACUGCAUUCGAUACUGCCGUGCUUGAGGACUGGAGAGGAGACUGGAAUUUGCGGUGUAGCGGUGAAAUGCGUAGAUAUCGUAAGGAAGACCAGUGGCGAAGGCGGGUCUCUGGACAGUUCCUGACGCUGAGGCACGAAGGCCAGGGGAGCAAACGGG
RNAcentral lists this ribosomal RNA (253 nucleotides) under uncultured bacterium. RNAcentral's name for it is "partial 16S ribosomal RNA". It matches the Rfam family "Bacterial small subunit ribosomal RNA", at positions 524 to 776 of the family's 1533-position model. The record is from RNAcentral.